GCAUAUCAAUAAGCGGAGGAAAAGAAACCAACAGGGAUUGCCCUAGUAACGGCGAGUGAAGCGGCAACAGCUCAAAUUUGAAAUCUGGCUCUUUUAGAGUCCGAGUUGUAAUUUGCAGAGGGCGCUUUGGCUUUGGCAGCGGUCCAAGUUCCUUGGAACAGGACGUCACAGAGGGUGAGAAUCCCGUACGUGGUCGCUGGCUAUUGCCGUGUAAAGCCCCUUCGACGAGUCGAGUUGUUUGGGAAUGCAGCUCUAAAUGGGAGGUACAUUUCUUCUAAAGCUAAAUAUUGGCCAGAGACCGAUAGCGCACAAGUAGAGUGAUCGAAAGAUGAAAAGCACUUUGGAAAGAGAGUCAAACAGCACGUGAAAUUGUUAAAAGGGAAGCGCUUGCAGCCAGACUUGCUUGCAGUUGCUCAUCCGGGCUUUUGCCCGGUGCACUCUUCUGUAGGCAGGCCAGCAUCAGUUUGGGCGGUAGGAUAAAGGUCUCUGUCACGUACCUCCUUUCGGGGAGGCCUUAUAGGGGAGACGACAUACUACCAGCCUGGACUGAGGUCCGCGCAUCUGCUAGGAUGCUGGCGUAAUGGCUGUAAGCGGCCCGUCUUGAAACACGGACCAAGGAGUCUAACAUCUAUGCGAGUGUUUGGGUGUCAAGCCCGAGCGCGUAAUGAAAGUGAACGGAGGUGGGAACCCGCAAGGGUGCACCAUCGACCGAUCCUGAUGUCUUCGGAAGGAUUUGAGUAAGAGCAUGGCUGUUGGGACCCGAAAGAUGGUGAACUAUGCUUGAAUAGGGUGAAGCCAGAGGAAACUCUGGUGGAGGCUCGCAGCGGUUCUGACGUGCAAAUCGAUCGUCAAAUUUGGGCAUAGGGGCGAAAGACUAAUC
Molecule: ribosomal RNA, 880 nt
Filed under: Alternaria zantedeschiae
Lineage: Eukaryota; Fungi; Ascomycota; Dothideomycetes; Pleosporales; Pleosporaceae
Description: LSU rRNA
Rfam family: Eukaryotic large subunit ribosomal RNA
Source: RNAcentral